CGUUCCCGGGCCUUGUACACACCGCCCGUCACGUCACGAAAGUCGGUAACACCCGAAGCCGGUGGCCCAACCCCCUUGUGGGGGAGGGAGCUGUCGAAGGUGGGACUGGCGAUUGGGACG
This 120-nucleotide ribosomal RNA is filed under the name uncultured bacterium. RNAcentral describes it as "partial 16S ribosomal RNA". It matches the Rfam family "Bacterial small subunit ribosomal RNA", at positions 1369 to 1482 of the family's 1533-position model. The record is from RNAcentral.